RNAcentral lists this ribosomal RNA (839 nucleotides) under Allomuricauda sp. MAR_2010_216. Its description in RNAcentral is "bacterial SSU rRNA". It matches the Rfam family "Bacterial small subunit ribosomal RNA", at positions 24 to 857 of the family's 1533-position model. The record is from RNAcentral. Lineage: Bacteria; Pseudomonadati; Bacteroidota; Flavobacteriia; Flavobacteriales; Flavobacteriaceae.
UCAGGAUGAACGCUAGCGGCAGGCCUAACACAUGCAAGUCGAGGGGCAUCGGGGAAAAGCUUGCUUUUCCGCCGGCGACCGGCGCACGGGUGCGGAACGCGUAUGGAACCUGCCCCUGUCAGGGGAAUAGCCCAGGGAAACUUGGAUUAAUGCCCCAUGGUACCGCGAUAUCGCAUGAUAUUGCGGUUAAAGAUUUAUCGGACAGGGAUGGCCAUGCGUACCAUUAGUUAGUUGGUGGGGUAACGGCCCACCAAGGCAGCGAUGGUUAGGGGCCCUGAGAGGGGGAUCCCCCACACUGGUACUGAGACACGGACCAGACUCCUACGGGAGGCAGCAGUGAGGAAUAUUGGACAAUGGGCGGGAGCCUGAUCCAGCCAUGCCGCGUGCAGGAUGACGGCCCUAUGGGUUGUAAACUGCUUUUAUACGGGAAGAAAUGCGCCCACGUGUGGGCGUCUGACGGUACCGUAAGAAUAAGGACCGGCUAACUCCGUGCCAGCAGCCGCGGUAAUACGGAGGGUCCGAGCGUUAUCCGGAAUCAUUGGGUUUAAAGGGUCCGUAGGCGGGCCUGUAAGUCAGGGGUGAAAGUUUGUGGCUCAACCAUAAAAUUGCCUUUGAUACUGCAGGUCUUGAGUCAUGGUGGGGUCGCCGGAACAUGUGGUGUAGCGGUGAAAUGCAUAGAUAUCACAUAGAACACCGAUCGCGAAGGCAGGUGGCCAACCAUGUACUGACGCUGAUGGACGAAAGCGUGGGUAGCGAACGGGAUUAGAUACCCCGGUAGUCCACGCCGUAAACGAUGGAUACUAGCUGUGGGGACUUCGUUCACCGUGGCCAAGCGAAAG